CCCUUAGAUGUUCUGGGCCGCACGCGCGCUACACUGAUGCAUUCAACGAGUCUAAAACCUGCUCUGAUAGGGGUGGGUAAUCUUUUGAAUGUGCAUCGUGAUUGGGAUAGAUGAUUGCAAUUUUUCAUCUUCAACGAGGAAUGCCUAGUAAACGCAAGUCAUCAGCUUGCAUUGAUUACGUCCCUGCCCUUUGUACACACCGCCCGUCGCUCCUACCGAUUGAAUGAUCCGAUGAAUAUCAUGGAUUGAGGAUUAUAGCAGGUUCGCCUGUCUUGAUCUUCGAGAAGUGAAGUAAAUCUUAUCAUUUAGAGGAAGGAGAAGUCGUAACA
RNAcentral lists this ribosomal RNA (329 nucleotides) under uncultured eukaryote. RNAcentral describes it as "partial 18S ribosomal RNA". It matches the Rfam family "Eukaryotic small subunit ribosomal RNA", at positions 1470 to 1796 of the family's 1831-position model. The record is from RNAcentral.